Dreissena polymorpha is the source of this 224-nucleotide long non-coding RNA. RefSeq lists it as uncharacterized. The record is from RefSeq and is a predicted model, not a curated record. The transcript has 3 exons. Lineage: Eukaryota; Metazoa; Mollusca; Bivalvia; Myida; Dreissenidae.
UAGGUAUGUGUUAAGAUCAGGGGUGUUCACAAGCUCUGUGCUUCUAGGUAUGUGUUCACAUCUGCAGUGUUCACAAGCUGUGUGCUUCUAGGUAUGUGUUAAGAUCAGGGGUGUUCACAAGCUCUGUGCUUCUAGGUAUGUGUUCAGAUCUGCGGUGUUCACAAGCUGUGUGCUUCUAGGUAUGUGUUAAGAUCAGGGGUGUUCACAAGCUCUGUGCUUCUAGG